CCAUACGACCGUACCGCAAACCGACACUGGUGCGCGAGAUGAGUAUUCUAAGGCGCUUGAGAGAGCUCAGGAGAAGGAACUCGGCAAAUUGACACCGUAACUUCGGAAGAAGGUGUGCCCUAUUAGUGUGUAGUGAACAACGAAGCAUGAAUGGGUUGCAAAAAAUCGGUGGCUGCGACUGUUUAUUAAAAACACAGCACUCUGCAAACACGAAAGUGGACGUAUAGGGUGUGACGCCUGCCCGGUGCUGGAAGAUUAAAUGAUGGGGUGCAAGCUCUUGAUUGAAGUCCCAGUAAACGGCGGCCGUAACAAUAACGGUCCUAAGGUAGCGAAAUUCCUUGUCGGGUAAGUUCCGACCUGCACGAAUGGCGUAACGAUGGCCACACUGUCUCCUCCUGAGACUCAGCGAAGUUGAAAUGUUUGUGAUGAUGCAAUCUCCCCGCGGAAAGACGGAAAGACCCCAUGAACCUUUACUGUAGCUUUGUAUUGGACUUUGAACAGAUCUGUGUAGGAUAGGUGGGAGGCUUUGAAGCAGGGUCGCUAGAUCUUGUGGAGCCAACGUUGAAAUACCACCCUGGUGUGUUUGAGGUUCUAACCUAGGUCCAUUAUCUGGAUCGGGGACAGUGCAUGGUAGGCAGUUUGACUGGGGCGGUCUCCUCCCAAAGCGUAACGGAGGAGUUCGAAGGUACGCUAGUUACGGUCGGACAUCGUGACGAUAGUGCAAUGGCAUAAGCGUGCUUAACUGCGAGACUGACAAGUCGAGCAGAUGCGAAAGCAGGACAUAGUGAUCCGGUGGUUCUGUAUGGAAGGGCCAUCGCUCAACGGAUAAAAGGUACUCUGGGGAUAACAGGCUGAUACCGCCCAAGAGUUCAUAUCGACGGCGGUGUUUGGCACCUCGAUGUCGGCUCAUCUCAUCCUGGGGCUGUAGCCGGUCCCAAGGGUAUGGCUGUUCGCCAUUUAAGGAGGUACGUGAGCUGGGUUUAAAACGUCGUGAGACAGUUUGGUCCCUAUCUUCCGUGGGCGCUGCAGAUUUGAGGAAGCCUGCUCCUAGUACGAGAGGACCGGAGUGGACACACCUCUGGUGUAUCGGUUGUCACGCCAGUGGCAUUGCCGAGUAGCUAAGUGUGGAAGAGAUAACCGCUGAAAGCAUCUAAGCGGGAAACUCGUUUCAAGAUGAGAUCUGCCGGGGCCUUGAGCCCCCUAAAGAGUCGUUCAAGACCAGGACAUUGAUAGGUCAGGUGUGGAAGC
RNAcentral lists this ribosomal RNA (1248 nucleotides) under metagenome. RNAcentral describes it as "bacterial LSU rRNA". It matches the Rfam family "Bacterial large subunit ribosomal RNA", at positions 1634 to 2874 of the family's 2925-position model. The record is from RNAcentral.